Molecule: ribosomal RNA, 596 nt
Filed under: uncultured soil bacterium
Lineage: Bacteria
Description: bacterial SSU rRNA
Rfam family: Bacterial small subunit ribosomal RNA
Source: RNAcentral
CCGGCGCACGGGUGCGUAACGCGUAUGCAAUCUACCUUUUACAGAGGGAUAGCCCAGAGAAAUUUGGAUUAAUACCUCAUAGUAUAGCGACAUCGCAUGAUGAUGCUAUUAAAGUCACAACGGUAAAAGAUGAGCAUGCGUCCCAUUAGCUAGUUGGUAAGGUAACGGCUUACCAAGGCUACGAUGGGUAGGGGUCCUGAGAGGGAGAUCCCCCACACUGGUACUGAGACACGGACCAGACUCCUACGGGAGGCAGCAGUGAGGAAUAUCGGACAAUGGGCGCAAGCCUGAUCCAGCCAUGCCGCGUGCAGGAUGACGGUCCUAUGGAUUGUAAACUGCUUUUAUACGAGAAGAAACACUACUUCGUGAAGUAGCUUGACGGUAUCGUAAGAAUAAGGAUCGGCUAACUCCGUGCCAGCAGCCGCGGUAAUACGGAGGAUCCAAGCGUUAUCCGGAAUCAUUGGGUUUAAAGGGUCCGUAGGCGGUUUAAUAAGUCAGUGGUGAAAGCCCAUCGCUCAACGGUGGAACGGCCAUUGAUACUGUUAGACUUGAAUUAUUAGGAAGUAACUAGAAUAUGUAGUGUAGCGGUGAAAUGC